UACGUAGGGUGCAAGCGUUAAUCGGAAUUACUGGGCGUAAAGCGUGCGCAGGCGGUUAUGUAAGACAGAUGUGAAAUGCCCGGGCUUAACCUGGGAACUGCAUUUGUGACUGCAUGGCUAGAGUUUGGCAGAGGGGGGUAGAAUUCCACGUGUAGCAGUGAAAUGCGUAGAUAUGUGGAGGAACACCGAUGGCGCAAGGCAGCCCCCUGGGCUGACACUGACGCUCAGGCACGAAAGCGUGGGGAGCAAACAGG
This 254-nucleotide ribosomal RNA is filed under the name uncultured bacterium. Its description in RNAcentral is "partial 16S ribosomal RNA". It matches the Rfam family "Bacterial small subunit ribosomal RNA", at positions 524 to 776 of the family's 1533-position model. The record is from RNAcentral.